ACAGCCUUCUCUGUGCCCCAGAGGCAUAU
Molecule: small RNA, 29 nt
Filed under: Bombyx mori (domestic silkworm)
Lineage: Eukaryota; Metazoa; Arthropoda; Insecta; Lepidoptera; Bombycidae
Description: ovarian small RNA-11102
Source: RNAcentral